GGAUGUAGCGAGGAUGCGGCGGGUCACCUCGGAUCCGAGGUCGAACUCUUCACCGGCGAGGCACUCCGCGAUGGUGCCACGGCAGCCGGCAAGCGCCGGGAUCCAGCCGAGGGGAAGCUCGCCCCCUUCUCCGCUUGCGGCGGCCGGGGUGAUGGCGGCCGCACCUGCAACGAGGAGGAUGGCCGCCACAAGGAGGGAGCUUUCCACCAGCUUCGCCAUUCUUUCUCUAAGGAGACGAAAGAAAAAGAAGACUCUCUCUCUCUCUUUUAGUACGAGUAGUUGCCUGGCGCUCUCCUUUCUUUGUACUAAUAACUCGUGAGGGAGGGAGGAAGAUGACCAGAGAAGG
Molecule: long non-coding RNA, 346 nt
Filed under: Musa acuminata (dwarf banana)
Lineage: Eukaryota; Viridiplantae; Streptophyta; Magnoliopsida; Zingiberales; Musaceae
Description: long non-coding RNA (MACU_LNC004355)
Source: RNAcentral